UACGGAGGGGGCUAGCGUUGUUCGGAAUUACUGGGCGUAAAGGGCGCGUAGGCGGUGCGAUAAGUCAGGCGUGAAAGGUCCGGGCUCAACCCGGGGACUGCGCUUGAUACUGUUGCGCUGUGAGUCCGGGAGAGGAUGGCGGAAUUCCCAGUGUAGAGGUGAAAUUCGUAGAUAUUGGGAAGAACACCGGUGGCGAAGGCGGCCAUCUGGACCGGCACUGACGCUGAGGCGCGAAAGCGUGGGGAGCAAACAGG
This 254-nucleotide ribosomal RNA is filed under the name uncultured bacterium. Its description in RNAcentral is "partial 16S ribosomal RNA". It matches the Rfam family "Bacterial small subunit ribosomal RNA", at positions 524 to 776 of the family's 1533-position model. The record is from RNAcentral.